This 253-nucleotide ribosomal RNA is filed under the name uncultured bacterium. RNAcentral describes it as "partial 16S ribosomal RNA". It matches the Rfam family "Bacterial small subunit ribosomal RNA", at positions 524 to 776 of the family's 1533-position model. The record is from RNAcentral.
UACAGAGGGGGCAAGCGUUGUUCGGAAUCACUGGGCGUAAAGCGCGUGUAGGCGGCCCAUUAAGUCUGAUGUGAAAGCCCGGGGCUCACCCCCGGAAGUGCAUUGGAAACUGGUGGACUCGAGUCCCGGAGAGGAGAGUGGAAUUCCUGGUGUAGCGGUGAAAUGCGUAGAUAUCAGGAGGAACACCGGUGGCGAAGGCGGCUCUCUGGACGGUGACUGACGCUGAGACGCGAAAGCGUGGGGAGCAAACAGG